This 492-nucleotide ribosomal RNA is filed under the name uncultured bacterium. RNAcentral describes it as "partial 16S ribosomal RNA". It matches the Rfam family "Bacterial small subunit ribosomal RNA", at positions 29 to 507 of the family's 1533-position model. The record is from RNAcentral.
AGUGAACGCUGGCGGUAGGCCUAACACAUGCAAGUCGAACGGCAGCACAGUAAGAGCUUGCUCUUACGGGUGGCGAGUGGCGGACGGGGGAGGAAUACAUCGGAAUCUACUUUGUCGUGGGGGAUAACGUAGGGAAACUUACGCUAAUACAGCAUACGACCUACGGGUGAAAGCAGGGGAUCUUCGGACCUUGCGCGAGUGAAUGAGCCGAUGUCGGAUUAGCUAGUUGGCGGGGUAAAGGCCCACCAAGGCGACGAUCCGUAGCUGGUCUGAGAGGAUGAUCAGCCACACUGGAACUGAGACACGGUCCCGACUCCUACGGGAGGCAGCAGUGGGGAAUAUUGGACAAUGCGCGCAAGCCUGAUCCAGCCAUACCGCGUGGGUGCAGAAGGCCUUCGGGUUGUAAAGCCCUUUUGUUGGGAAAGAAAAGCAGCAGGUUAAUACCCCGCUGUUCUGACGGUACCCAAAGAAUAAGCACCGGCUAACUUCGUG